This is a non-coding RNA of Lonchura striata (white-rumped munia), 827 nucleotides long. The record is from RefSeq and is a predicted model, not a curated record. NCBI's taxonomy places the organism in Eukaryota, Metazoa, Chordata, Aves, Passeriformes, Estrildidae.
CCGGUUUCCAAGCCCCGGCUUCCAGCCCCCCGGCUCCAGGUCGCCGCUUGCUCGCGGCGCCGCCGGCUCCCGGCCCCUCCCGUUACCGGAGGAGGCUCGGAGCCUCCUCAGCUCCGGAACCCCCGGUUUCCAACCGCGCCCACCCCCGGCACCGGGGAUCCCCCGGCUUCCAGGCUCCUGUCCCGGGCCGCCCCACCGCUGCCCCGCUCCCUCUGCUGUAUCCUGGGUGUCCCCGAGCAGCUCCAGCCCAGGGCUGAGGUUCUGUGUCCCCUACCCCGGUCACUGCACCCAUCGAAACGGCCUGGAGGGGUUUUCCGUAAUUCCCGUGGCAGUUUACUGGUUUACCACCACAGGGACUAUGCGGGAAAGGAAGUUCUUUUUAUCAAACUGUGUCCCACUGUGUAUAAAUGGAGGAACAAACUUUCUCACGUGUCUUAGGUGUGCACGGGAAAGUUUUGUAUCCAGAGCAGUGCUCGAAAGACAAAAGGAGAAACACGGUUACAAGCAAGACGGGCAGAAACACUGGAAACGGGCAGCUUUGCAAAAGGAAGUUUUCUGAAAUCACCAUCUUAGAGCGAACUAGGGUUGGUGCCUGGAAUGCUCAUGGCUUCAGCAUGAGGACUGUUCUGUUUGCCUGUUAAUUAUGAAGGAAUUCCUGCACUGGAGAGAAGGAAUGGAAGGAACAGUGCUUUGAACACACUCAAGAAUAUUCUCAGUGAACAAAUAAACAGUAAUGGGAAUUCUUUGGGAUGAUGCUGUUAUGGAUCAUGGAGAAUAUAUGUUAGUUAGAGUGUGACCCUCCUAACAUGCUUGAUUUUUUUCCUCUU